CAGGACGAACGCUGGCGGCGUGCUUCAUACAUGCAAGUCGAACGAGAAAUCUACUUCGGUAGAUGGAAAGUGGCGGACGGGUGAGUAAUAUGUAGAGAAUCUGCCCUAGAGAGGGGGACAACCGUUGGAAACGACAGCUAAUACCCCAUAUGAGCGUACCUGAAAUGGUAUUCUUGAAAACUCCGGUGCUCUGGGAUGAGUCUGCAUCUGAUUAGCUAGUUGGGGGUGUAAUGGACCACCAAGGCGACGAUCAGUAGCUGGUUUGAGAGGAUGAUCAGCCACAAUGGGACUGAGACACGGCCCAUACUCCUACGGGAGGCAGCAGUAGGGAAUUUUGCGCAAUGGGCGAAAGCCUGACGCCAGCAACGCCGCGUGAUCGAGACGCUUUUCGGAGUGUAAAGAUCUGUCACAGGGGACGAACGAUGACGGUACCCUGAGAGGAAGCACCGGCUAACUCCGUGCCAGCCGCCGC
RNAcentral lists this ribosomal RNA (472 nucleotides) under uncultured bacterium. RNAcentral's name for it is "bacterial SSU rRNA". It matches the Rfam family "Bacterial small subunit ribosomal RNA", at positions 25 to 518 of the family's 1533-position model. The record is from RNAcentral.